UGGCGACCAUAGCAAGAGUGAACCACCUGAUCCCUUCCCGAACUCAGAAGUGAAACCUCUUAGCGCUGAUGGUAGUGUGGGGUUACCCAUGUGAGAG
This 97-nucleotide ribosomal RNA is filed under the name Acinetobacter sp. 1542444. The record is from RNAcentral. Lineage: Bacteria; Pseudomonadati; Pseudomonadota; Gammaproteobacteria; Moraxellales; Moraxellaceae.